RNAcentral lists this long non-coding RNA (4031 nucleotides) under Equus asinus (donkey). RNAcentral describes it as "lncRNA (ENSEASG00005037476.1)". Lineage: Eukaryota; Metazoa; Chordata; Mammalia; Perissodactyla; Equidae. The record is from RNAcentral.
GAAGCUUGUGCCUGGUUUCUUCUGGACUUUGCCAUGUGCCUUUUUUCUUGCCGAUUUUGCUGUGUACCCUUUGAAUUAGAUUUUAUUUUUUCCUUUUUCUCCCCAAAGCCCCCCGGUACAUAUUUGUAUAUUCUUAGUUGUGGGUCCUUCUAGUUGUAGCAUGUGGGAUGCCGCCUCAGCGUGGUCGGAUGAGCGGUGCCAUGUCUGCGCCCAGGAGUCGAACUGGCGAAACCCUGACACAGUUGGAAACGUUGGUUAUCUUACCAAAGCUUUGACUGGAAUGUCAUAUUUGAGAGAAACAUACAGACUCAGAUAUGACAAGACAGCUUUUGAGGAAUAAAGGUUGACUUCCUGUAAUAAAGCCACUUGGAAAUAUUGGCUUGGUCCUUGUUUACAAGGAAUCCAGCAACCUGGGUAAGUAAGGAAGGUCACUUAUCUGGCAGGUGCCUGGAAUCUCAAAAUACUUUGGGGAGCCUCAAGAGAAGAGAGGAAUUCACCCAAAUCUAAACUCCAGGCAAAGCCUGAUGACAAAUCCUUGGCUUGGCUUUUCUGGCCUCGAGAGGCAUUUAAAGCUCAACUUGAGAUUCCUUAUAAAAAGUUCUAGCAAAGCAGAUUUUAAAAAGCCUAUAUGAUCAAUGGCUAUUCUUGCUGUAAUUAUGUAAAUAAUUGAAUUAAGUUUUAUUGAAACUAGGCUUAUCUUGCAAACCAGUUAGUCUUAAUUUGGCUCUCUUUGGUAAAAAUGAGGGUGAUUUUAGAGAGAAAAAUUAUGUUUCAAUAAAAACUGUAGUACACAUUCAUGGAUAUUAGGUUCUAGUUCUGAUAAUUUUAUUUGAGGUUUUUAUUUUAUGUCUGUUAACUGGACUGGAUCCUGAAUUCUUCUAGUCUCUUGAAAUAUCUGGCUACAAAUCUCCAAACUAACAUUUUCAAUUUUUUCCCCACCAUUUUCAUUUGGAAUCAUUGAGAACUGAACCUGCCCUUUUUCCUGAAGACUUUCAAACUGAAGCUGGGCGACUUGAUAUAAACGUAAGAGAGAUUCAUGUCUAUUGCUGUGUAAGACACUCAGUAAGAUACCUGAACACGUGGUGACAUCAUCAGAGACAUUUCAAACUGCAAAAGAUGCUUCCACUCUGACACCUAGAAAUCUUUUGUCUGGCUGCCGCCUGGGUUCAGAAAGGCUCAACUUUGUGAGCCCACCUGCAUCACCAUCUUACUAAGAGACUGGUUCAAUGAGAUGGAACAACCUAUGCCCCUCAUCAACAGGAUAAUCCCUCAAGAUUGAAGAUGAACAACAAAAGGUGGGAUUGACACCAGUCAACACAAGGUUGGCAUAAGGGAAGCCAUAUUGUAAAAAAGAAACCAUAUUGUAACUUUGAAUGACUUCUGAUUAACUAACCCAGACAUACUCUGUAGAUUUUAUGGACCCUCUUAGUUGUUAUAAGUUGAUAACUUUGUUCUUUUGAAUUACUUAGGAAUGUGAUGACCCCCAGGCAGAGAGUCUGUGCUGAUGGCCAUUAUCAAUGACAACUGAAAGACCAGGGUAUAGGCCAUUGCUCUGGUCUCUGAUGCAUAUCCAAUAAAACAAAAGACUAUCAGGAACUGAGACCAGAUGUCUGCCCCACCUGGAGGUCAGGAUGGAGGCCCCACUGGAAUUAGGUCUAUUUUUGACGGACUGUUAAAAUUUGGAUUGUCUAUACUUAUCCUUAUCAUCAGAUACUUGAUUAUAAAUUGUGCUUUUUAGAUGUAGAGCAAGAUACAAAAUUCUAAUAAUACAAAAACGUCAACAUGAAGCCUGGAACAAGGGAAUAUUUCCAAAUGAGAGUGCUAAACAGUUUCAUUCCUCUAAGCCAGAUCUAUGCCCCGAUUCAGCAGGAAGUAGCUAGAUUGGUUGUUGCCCCAAAUCCCUCAAGAAUGAGGAAUGACCAAAGAAUAGGGGGAUUGAAACUGGCAGAAAGUUAGCUAUUGAUGAUUAAGUAGCUAGGAACUAAAGUUUUUUUUCCUUUUUGCAAUUACUGAUUAUAGCUUUUAGCUGUUUAACCCAUCCAUUGUUAACCGUGCUGUUUAGGCAAUAUGCUAUCUGACUCCCACUAGGCUCCUAUGGAUAACAUCUUUCUGGAGCCUAGGUCACCAUGGUAAUGGGCAUGUGAGCUGUUUUUCAGGAAUUAGAACUCCUCGUCCACUUCAGGCCAGUUGAGACCACCAAAUCAUCAACUGGGCCUGCAGAGAUGUCCGAUUUGUGACCAUUUGACAACAAGAGGCUAAAAACUCCACCCUCAGAUCAUGCUAAUGCCACCAUUUUGUGAACAUGGGUCCUAUGAAGAGGCAUGAAGUCUGACUAUGUUUGUGCAGACCAUCAAUUACCUCACCUCUAAUCAUGUCUCUCCACAUUUCUGACUGCCUUGCCCCCUGUCCCAUAAAUAUCCCUGAGACCCUAUUUUUGGGGAAGUGCAUUUGGGGCUCAUGGUCUCACUUCCUCACAUGGCUGCCUUGUGAGUAAACCCUCUCUCUGCUGUAAUCCCGUUGUCUUGGUGUUUGGCUUUCUGGGUGGUGGGCAAGAAUGAACCUGGUUUGGUAACAAGAUGAACUGAUAAUCAGUUCAAAUAUCUUUCUAAAGUAGCCAAAUCUCCUACAUGUGAAUUUUAGACUUUAAAAAUUCAGUACCCUAAGAGUGAUGAUCAUCUGUCAAAAUGAUUCACUUUUCACAGCACAGUUUUAAGAUGAAUUAUUUUACAUUUUAUAUUUGCACUCUCUGGGCUACAAAGAAUGACACAAUGGGCAUGGCCUGCUAUUUAUUUGCAACAUAAAGGAGACUAAACAUGAAAUCACUAUUGUAUUUGUAUUCAGAAAUUAGGAUGAGUUAGAGGAAGCAGGAACUGUUAAUGUGAGGCUUGUUUAAGUGGGGCCUCUUGUUUACAUUCAUUUGCUAAAGAUGCAGGCUGGUUUGUAACCAAUGGCAUCUGAAAGGGUCCAUUUGGCCCUUACUCUCAGAUAUACCUGAAGGACCCCACCCUUCCAGCCAGACACUGCUCCCUGCCUUCCUCUUUUCACAGCAGCCUCUGCUGCCUCCUCAGCCUUCUCCACCUCCCCAGCCUCCUUGCCUCCUUGUCUCCUUGCAUCCUCAGCUUUGGACUUCUCAGGCCUCAGUCUCCUCAGUUCUCAUCUCCUUUCACAGUGUGGAUCUCCUCCCUCAGACCCCCUCUUUGGUUGGUCUGGGUAUUUGGAUGAAUUCUUUUCAUUUACUUCUGGCAGGAGGAUGGCAAGAUCAUGCCACUGGUCUAGUCCCCCACGUCUGUAGACUGCAUAUGGAGGUGUGCCUUUUGCAAGGGGGAGCAGGUUUUCAUUUCCUUGAAGACCUGGGGUCAGAGUGGGGACUGAUGGUGCAGACAGUGAAGCCCUUGUGUGGAGGGGAAAGGCCCUCACUUCCUGCUUGCUCAUGUCCUAGGCAACCACGGAAGACACGGGCAUCUGGAUGACCUGUCGGCAACAUCAGGGUUCCUGAUCCACCAGCGCCACUUCAUCCACUCAUGGCAUUCACAGAAGUCACUAGUCAUAACCCUGUGCCAAACAAAAUGGGGGUAUUAGAAGUCAGGCCUCAGUGCCAGGACAGAGUAAGAUUUCAAGGAGGAUUUGCUAAAUGAACGUGUGAAUGAAUGCAGUGGUUAAAUCAACUUUCUUGUAUUUCCUUUAUCUUGAAUCAAAUUGCUUGCUAUUUUUAGCCAUAUUUUAACUGAUUGGUAAGGCGUAUUUACUGCUACACAUAACAUCGCUGAGGGGGACUCCAGAGGUGACUCUGACCCAUUCUGAAGCACGUGCAUCUGUGAACUCUGUUUUUCUCCCACAGUAAUAAUCCAUUUAAAGAAGUCAUAUAUAGAGGAAAUGUGGAUGGUUGUUCUAUUAUGAAUGUUUGUUUUUCCUUUGUGCCAAUCUGUAUUUGCCACAAUAAAAAAUGCGACAAUUUACCAAGCAUCUACCGUGUUUUGAGACAUCAAGCAACAUGUCUGGGGAGUUUUUCUUAGUUUCUACUCAAAUUGACU